GGGAUCUCUUCCUGGAGAUUACUACCUUAGAAGUUUUUCUGUGUGCCCAGGAUGUGGAUUCCUGUCUGCUUACAGCUUGUCUGUAUGUUCUGCAAUGUACCACCUUGCCUAACUGAAAACGCCCCAUGAAAUUGUACUGAGUUUAUUUGAGACAUGGAAUUUUAUAUCCUUCAGGGGUGGCCUCUGCCUGCCUGGGCUUAUGCUUUGCUUUCCUGACUACUAAUCUGAUCUUGGUAUAUCAGGCCUAUGGAGUUGCUUUUACUUCCAAGAAGUAGAAUACACUGGAUGCCACGCAGAUCACUGUUGAAAGCCUUUACAAAAUAUCUUCUCCUUAUGAGUACGGCAUGUACAGAUACUUACGAUCUCUGUUAUUUCUGAAAUUUUAUUUUUGGCAGAUAUGUGUGCAAUAAGGAAGAGCUGACUACUCUCACUCUUUCUCCCUCUCAAUAUGUUAAAUAAAAAAAUAAAUCUGACCACCACAAUGCUACAUGGGAGUCAUUCCUAUUAAACUGCAGUAUCUAGCAAAACAAUGUCCUGGCUUGGAAACAGAGAUGUCCCAAACCAAUAUUAGUAUUUGAUUAUUGUCAUGAUUGUUUUAUAAGUCCCCCAGGGAAAGGGGGAAAGGAAUCAACCUGAAGUGGAAACUUACUUUCUGUUCUGGUAACUGUGUGCAUGCUGAGGAGACAGGAAUGUGAUCUUCUGAGGCAUGGUGAGGCAGCAAUUCAUGUGCCCUGAUCCAUCCUUUUCUCUGUCCAGUAGAGCUUUCACACGAUAUGGUAGGUAUACUUCAAAAUUUAAGAAAUCCAGGUGAGUUCCUAUUCCCCCUAGUAUAAAUUUUAAAAA
Molecule: non-coding RNA, 843 nt
Organism: Coturnix japonica (Japanese quail)
Lineage: Eukaryota; Metazoa; Chordata; Aves; Galliformes; Phasianidae
Source: RefSeq, a predicted model, not a curated record